GUAGUGUACUGAUCAUAGCAUA
This 22-nucleotide non-coding RNA is filed under the name Arabidopsis thaliana (thale cress). The record is from RNAcentral. Lineage: Eukaryota; Viridiplantae; Streptophyta; Magnoliopsida; Brassicales; Brassicaceae.